CUCCUGCCUCAACCUCCUGAGUAGCUGGGACUACAGGCACAGGCCACCUUGCUCCACUAAUUUCUGUCAUUUUUGUAGAAAGAGGGCCUUGCUGUGGUUGUUCUUGAACUGUUGGGCUCACGUGAUCCUCCUGUCUCUGCCUGUCAAAGAACUGGGGUCACAGAAUACUCCUGGCUCUUCUUGGUCUUUUUAUAAUUUGUCAGCAUUUUCCUUGGGACUCUGCUGGUCUGUUUCAGAGUGACUGAGUGGCCCCUCCCUCUCCUACUGAUCCUUUGAUAUCUGAACCCUGGGCCACAGUCCAGCCACAGCCCUGAAGCUCCUGGCCUCUCUACUCCUAGCGCUUUCAGAAAGUUCACUGCCUGGCACAGAAAAGACCCUCCUGAUGCCAGCCAAUGUAGACACACUCCCUGCAAAGAUCCCACUGGAGCUCACCAUGCUGGGCGCAUCACCCACAUCCCUUCCUCUGGCUCCUCAGACUUGCAUCCCACCAUCAAAUACCCCUCCACCCCACAGAUUCCAAAUAAGCACAGUCACCCCAACACUGAGGUCCCUUCUCUGAUGGGCAGCCCCUCCCCAGCCCCCUAUUGCCCCAUCUCCAGGAUCUUUCUCUUCCAAGAUGUGACUUUUCUCUCUGUGUGUUCCUUUCUCUCCAUCAGUACCUGCUAGCUAUGGUCAUAGCAUAUUUUAGCCAUGCCGGCUUCUUCUCCUGGCAAUACUGAUGCAUUCAUUUCUUCCUGGCCCUGUACCUGGCCAAUGACGUGGAGGAGGUUGAUGAGGCCCCCAAACAAGCCAUCUUCCACUUCCUGUAUGGGAAGAACCGCUUCCAGUGACCCUUGUUCCAGAAGCUUCGGUUCCAGUUCUUCUGUUCCAUGCACUGGAGAGCUUGUGUUUCCCCAGAGGAGUUGGAGAAGGUGAGUGGGGUGUGGGGAGGUGGAGGAGGUGGGGAGGAGUCAAGUGGAUUGGAGGCUGGAUGAAGGGAGGGAGGGGCAUCUGAGGAGUCCCCGUCUUCUCAAGGACCAUUUUCUUAUCCAGAUCCAGGCUUAUGACCCAGAGAACUGGGUGUGGGUAUGAGACCACGCCCUCCUUUCCUAGAGCUCCAGGGACCAUGGAGGCCUGAGGUCAUCAGCCUGAGGGAAGGUACAUUUGUGUCCCCUAGAGUCAAGGCAGAAUAUUAUGGUCUAUUUAGGAAAUCUGAGGAACCCAAUUGCUUGAACCAGCUUCAAACCUGGGCAACAUGGCGAGAUCCCUUUUCCACAAAAAUACACAAAUUAACUGGGUGAUGUGGGAGGCAUCUCUAUUCCCAGCUACUCAGGAGGCUGAAGAGGGAGGAUCUCUGGAGCUUGGGAGGUUGGGGCUGCAGGGAGCCCUGAUCCUGCCACUGCACUCCGGUCUGAGACCCCAUAUCAAAAAUCAUCAUAAAUACUGAGUUCCAGGAGGUUGAUUACGAUUGACGCACUUGAGUUACCGAUGUGGGUCUAGGAUUCAGUGAAGAUUCGGUUUAUGUCUUGUGCAGCUAACCACGUUGAGGACCCAGCAUGAGACUUAACCAUUAGGAAGUGAGAUUACGGAUCAGGCUUCUGGAUUGGUGGUUAGUGAUGAUGUCACAUUAGAAACACAGCUAGCAUGGUUACAAGUUUAGAUCUUAAGUUACACCAAAGGCCCCAGGUGUGAUGAAGUCCAAAGCCACAUUCUCUGAGGGUGCUCUACUCCCUGAGCAGACCCACCCAAAGUCCUGACUAUGAAGCAGAUCGCUGGGGCUGGCCUUGGGUGUAUUAAGUGAGAUUUGGAGUCAGGUUCGCCAAAGUGUGAAUAUCACAAUUGAACAUGAUGGUUCAGAAGCAGGGUAGAGAAUGAAGGUCAGGAGAUAAAAUUGGAUUGGUCAAUUGCUAGUUAGAAUUGAAGUGGGAUGUGAGUAACUUUCCUGUCUAGAGAACUGCCUCCUUGAAAUGUGACCUCCUCUCUUUCACUUCCAGAACACUGGACCCAGGGAAGAUGUGGAUUUUCAGCAGGAAGUUUAUUCCAAUGUUAAUGGCAGACACCAGGAAGGAAGAGAGGAACCAUUUGUGCAGAUCAUCUGGAAGAACCUAGAAGAACCUGGACUGUUCUAGAAGGAGCCGAAUAGAGUGAUUAUGCUGCCCUCCUAGGAGUGGUGGGUAGGGGGUACUUCUGGGCAUCCUUGGAGGACAGUGAGAAACCAGCGGUGUUUCUUGUUCCACCCCUUCCUGCAGCACCACCUCCCUUUUUAGAUUGCUGAAUUCUACCUCCCUGGGGUGGAACCUGGAGGUCCUGCUUCCUAUGGACUUGGUUGCCACAGUCCGGGAGCAUUUGAAGGCACAGUGCAGGUGCUCAGAUUGGCACAGAAUUAUUUGUAAAAUAUGAGUGCCACAGGAUUGUAACAGAUAGCUUCAUGCAUACUAUGCAUUUUGUUGGUUUGUUUGGAAAACGUCGGCCAUUGAAUUAUUAGUACAUUUAUUUCAGAUAGUUUGGAAAUUUUUAUACUUUUGAAGACAUGCUGCUCCUGUAGAGAUUUUUGAUGACAGUUAUAGCUGUUACAUAUACAUAAAUAUAAUUUUCUUUCCAUUUUUAAGAAGGUAUUUUGUUUAUCCUAAAUCUUUUAUUAUCUGUUAUUAUAUGUGCUCCUGAAGUGAACACUCUUUUUAUCUAUGAUGCUUAUGUAAUCUAUUAUAUCAUAUCUAUGUGGUAGUUCUCGUAAAUUCUUGUACUAGGAAUUUUUAUUUGCUGUUUCAUGUUUGUUACUGAAUUGUGAGAAUCCAGUUGUGAUUUUUAACAUAUCUUAGGUAUAUGUUAAUAGGUCUAAUAUAUACUAUACAUUUUAUUGGUUUAUUUUGAAAAAGGUGGGCAUAGAAUUCUUUUUUUUUUUUUUUUUUUUUUUUUUUUUUGAGAUGGAGUUUCGCUCUGGUUACCCAAGCUGGAGUGCAAUGGUGCGAUCUCGGCUCACUGCAACCUCCACCUCCUGGGUUCAGGCAAUUCUCCUGCCUCAGCCUCCCGAGUAGCCGGGAUUACAGGCACACGCCACCAUGCCCAGCUAAUUUUUUGUAUUUUUAGUAGAGAUGGGGUUUCACCAUGUUGACCAGGAUGGUCUCGAUCUCCUGACCUCGUGAUCCACCCACCUCGGCCUCCCAAAGUGCUGGGAUUAUAGGCUUGAGCCACUGCACCCAGCCCCUAGAAUUCUUACUGUAUUUAUUUUAAAUAGUUUGGAAAUCCUGGUAUUUUGAAAAGACAUUGUUCCUAUAGAGUUGUGUGAUGAGUGUUAUAGCUGUUAUAUACACAUAAAUAUAAUUUUGUUUUUCUUUUAAGAGAGGAUUAUUUUUAUCCUAAGUAUUUUAUCUUUAAAUCUUUGUAUGUAUUA
This is a long non-coding RNA of Callithrix jacchus (white-tufted-ear marmoset), 3370 nucleotides long. NCBI's taxonomy places the organism in Eukaryota, Metazoa, Chordata, Mammalia, Primates, Cebidae. The record is from Ensembl.